This 709-nucleotide unclassified non-coding RNA is filed under the name Hevea brasiliensis (rubber tree). Lineage: Eukaryota; Viridiplantae; Streptophyta; Magnoliopsida; Malpighiales; Euphorbiaceae. The record is from RNAcentral.
AGGAGAAAAAGUAUCAGAGUAAUCAACCCCAUAUGUUUGAGCAUAUCCAUUGCCUACAAAACGUGCUUUUAAUCUGGUUAUAGAACCAUCACGAUUCAUCUUCAUUGUAAAAACUCAUUUGCAACUAAUAGUUUUCUUACUAUUGAGCAAAGGUAUCAGUUCCCAUAUACUAUUUGUAUCUAAGACCUCUAUUUUCUUUUUCAUAGUGGCAUAUCAACCAGGAUGAGAUAAUGCCUCAAUGAUUGUUUUAGGGAUUUUUAUAGAAUCCAAAGAGGUAACAAACAUUAAGAAGGAGAAGACAAAUGAUCAUAAGAAACAAAAGAGAAAAUAGGGUAAGUACAUACACAUUUACCUUUGCAAAGAGCUUUCGAUGAAGAAGAUGGUGGAGGAUCUAAGUCUGGAGUCUCCAAUCUCCUUGAGUAAACAUGAACAAUAGGAGGUCUGAUUGAGAUUGGGAUAGAAGGAGGAGCAGGAGCAGGAGGAUUUUGUUUGACAGUGUAAACUAAAAGAUCAUCGUCCUCACCCUGAUUCUCAUACGUAGAUGUUUGAGGAAAUAAUGGAGUAGACUCGAAAAACGUAAUAUUAGCAGAAAUAAUAUAACGAUUAAGAGUUGGGAGAAAAAUGCAUGUAUCCUUUUUGGAGCUGUGAGUAUUCAAGGAAAACACAUUUAAGAGACUUUGGAUCCAAUUUAGUUACAAAUAGACGGACA